Molecule: ribosomal RNA, 2987 nt
Filed under: Salmonella enterica subsp. enterica serovar Give
Lineage: Bacteria; Pseudomonadati; Pseudomonadota; Gammaproteobacteria; Enterobacterales; Enterobacteriaceae
Description: 23S ribosomal RNA
Rfam family: Bacterial large subunit ribosomal RNA
Source: RNAcentral
GGUUAAGCGACUAAGCGUACACGGUGGAUGCCCUGGCAGUCAGAGGCGAUGAAGGGCGUGCUAAUCUGCGAUAAGCGCCGGUAAGGUGAUAUGAACCGUUAUAACCGGCGAUACCCGAAUGGGGAAACCCAGUGUGACUCGUCACACUAUCAUUAACUGAAUCCAUAGGUUAAUGAGGCGAACCGGGGGAACUGAAACAUCUAAGUACCCCGAGGAAAAGAAAUCAACCGAGAUUCCCCCAGUAGCGGCGAGCGAACGGGGAGGAGCCCAGAGCCUGAAUCAGCAUGUGUGUUAGUGGAAGCGUCUGGAAAGGCGCGCGAUACAGGGUGACAGCCCCGUACACAAAAGCGCAUAUGCUGUGAGCUCGAUGAGUAGGGCGGGACACGUGGUAUCCUGUCUGAAUAUGGGGGGACCAUCCUCCAAGGCUAAAUACUCCUGACUGACCGAUAGUGAACCAGUACCGUGAGGGAAAGGCGAAAAGAACCCCGGCGAGGGGAGUGAAAAAGAACCUGAAACCGUGUACGUACAAGCAGUGGGAGCACCCUUUGGGGUGUGACUGCGUACCUUUUGUAUAAUGGGUCAGCGACUUAUAUUCUGUAGCAAGGUUAACCGAAUAGGGGAGCCGGAGGGAAACCGAGUCUUAAUUGGGCGUUAAGUUGCAGGGUAUAGACCCGAAACCCGGUGAUCUAGCCAUGGGCAGGUUGAAGGUUGGGUAACACUAACUGGAGGACCGAACCGACUAAUGUUGAAAAAUUAGCGGAUGACCUGUGGCUGGGGGUGAAAGGCCAAUCAAACCGGGAGAUAGCUGGUUCUCCCCGAAAGCUAUUUAGGUAGCGCCUCGUGAAUUCAUCUCCGGGGGUAGAGCACUGUUUCGGCUAGGGGGCCAUCCCGGCUUACCAACCCGAUGCAAACUGCGAAUACCGGAGAAUGUUAUCACGGGAGACACACGGCGGGUGCUAACGUCCGUCGUGAAGAGGGAAACAACCCAGACCGCCAGCUAAGGUCCCAAAGUCAUGGUUAAGUGGGAAACGAUGUGGGAAGGCCCAGACAGCCAGGAUGUUGGCUUAGAAGCAGCCAUCAUUUAAAGAAAGCGUAAUAGCUCACUGGUCGAGUCGGCCUGCGCGGAAGAUGUAACGGGGCUAAACCAUGCACCGAAGCUGCGGCAGCGAACGUAUCACUUAAAGCGAUUCAGCGGAUGACGAUUGACGGAGCGAAGCGACGUCAAAGCGUAUACAAAGUCGAGUCGGUUUAAGGAUACGUUCGUUGGGUAGGGGAGCGUUCUGUAAGCCUGUGAAGGUGUGCUGUGAGGCAUGCUGGAGGUAUCAGAAGUGCGAAUGCUGACAUAAGUAACGAUAAAGCGGGUGAAAAGCCCGCUCGCCGGAAGACCAAGGGUUCCUGUCCAACGUUAAUCGGGGCAGGGUGAGUCGACCCCUAAGGCGAGGCCGAAAGGCGUAGUCGAUGGGAAACGGGUUAAUAUUCCCGUACUUGGUGUUACUGCGAAGGGGGGACGGAGAAGGCUAUGUUGGCCGGGCGACGGUUGUCCCGGUUUAAGCGUGUAGGUGUGUGUUCCAGGUAAAUCCGGUUCACUUUAACACUGAGGCGUGACGACGAGGCACUACGGUGCUGAAGCAACAAAUGCCCUGCUUCCAGGAAAAGCCUCUAAGCAUCAGGUAACAUCAAAUCGUACCCCAAACCGACACAGGUGGUCAGGUAGAGAAUACCAAGGCGCUUGAGAGAACUCGGGUGAAGGAACUAGGCAAAAUGGUGCCGUAACUUCGGGAGAAGGCACGCUGACACGUAGGUGAAGUGAUUUACUCAUGGAGCUGAAGUCAGUCGAAGAUACCAGCUGGCUGCAACUGUUUAUUAAAAACACAGCACUGUGCAAACACGAAAGUGGACGUAUACGGUGUGACGCCUGCCCGGUGCCGGAAGGUUAAUUGAUGGGGUCAGCGCAAGCGAAGCUCCUGAUCGAAGCCCCGGUAAACGGCGGCCGUAACUAUAACGGUCCUAAGGUAGCGAAAUUCCUUGUCGGGUAAGUUCCGACCUGCACGAAUGGCGUAAUGAUGGCCAGGCUGUCUCCACCCGAGACUCAGUGAAAUUGAACUCGCUGUGAAGAUGCAGUGUACCCGCGGCAAGACGGAAAGACCCCGUGAACCUUUACUAUAGCUUGACACUGAACAUUGAGCCUUGAUGUGUAGGAUAGGUGGGAGGCUUUGAAGUGUGGACGCCAGUCUGCAUGGAGCCGACCUUGAAAUACCACCCUUUAAUGUUUGAUGUUCUAACGUGGAUCCGUGAUCCGGGUUGCGGACAGUGUCUGGUGGGUAGUUUGACUGGGGCGGUCUCCUCCUAAAGAGUAACGGAGGAGCACGAAGGUUGGCUAAUCCUGGUCGGACAUCAGGAGGUUAGUGCAAUGGCAUAAGCCAGCUUGACUGCGAGCGUGACGGCGCGAGCAGGUGCGAAAGCAGGUCAUAGUGAUCCGGUGGUUCUGAAUGGAAGGGCCAUCGCUCAACGGAUAAAAGGUACUCCGGGGAUAACAGGCUGAUACCGCCCAAGAGUUCAUAUCGACGGCGGUGUUUGGCACCUCGAUGUCGGCUCAUCACAUCCUGGGGCUGAAGUAGGUCCCAAGGGUAUGGCUGUUCGCCAUUUAAAGUGGUACGCGAGCUGGGUUUAGAACGUCGUGAGACAGUUCGGUCCCUAUCUGCCGUGGGCGCUGGAGAACUGAGGGGGGCUGCUCCUAGUACGAGAGGACCGGAGUGGACGCAUCACUGGUGUUCGGGUUGUCAUGCCAAUGGCACUGCCCGGUAGCUAAAUGCGGAAGAGAUAAGUGCUGAAAGCAUCUAAGCACGAAACUUGCCCCGAGAUGAGUUCUCCCUGAGACUUAAAGUCUCCUGAAGGAACGUUGAAGACGACGACGUUGAUAGGCCGGGUGUGUAAGCGCAGCGAUGCGUUGAGCUAACCGGUACUAAUGAACCGUGAGGCUUAACCUU